This 209-nucleotide ribosomal RNA is filed under the name uncultured bacterium. RNAcentral describes it as "partial 16S ribosomal RNA". It matches the Rfam family "Bacterial small subunit ribosomal RNA", at positions 1292 to 1500 of the family's 1533-position model. The record is from RNAcentral.
UUCGGAUUGCAGCCUGCAACUCGGCUGCAUGAAGCCGGAAUCGCUAGUAAUCGCGGAUCAGAAUGCCGCGGUGAAUACGUUCCCGGGUCUUGUACACACCGCCCGUCACACCAUGGGAGUCGGGAAUGCCCGAAGCCGGUGGCCCAACCUUAGGGAGGGAGCCGUCGAAGGCAGGCCCGGUGACUGGGGUGAAGUCGUAACAAGGUAGC